CGAGGAUUUCAAUUCCUAUUUUAGUUGUGUCAAUUCUAGUUAAAAAUGGAAGAGAUGUUGUCAUCUUUAUUCCAUAGAAAUUAAAAUAAAAUCAAUUAAAUAAGAAUUAAGAGAAAAUAAUUAGGAAUAGGAAACUUACCCAUUUAUUUAUAUUAGGCUAUUAUGAGUAGAUUAGAAUAAAGAGGGGAGGAAAAAGGGAAGAUAGCCAUUGUGCUUGGUGGCUGCCGAAACUAGAGAGAUGAGAGAGAGAGAGAGAAGGAGAGAAAGGAAGAGAAGAAAGGAGGAGGAAGAAGAAGGUCUUGGGAGGUCUUAGGGUAUUCAAGAGUGAUUGUGUUGAUCAAUUUUUGUUCUUGAUUUUACAAUCGAGAGAGCUCGAGUACAGCUGGCUAGCUAAGAACAUUACUAAAAUAUCUACUAGUUGACAUCUCCUCUGCAAAGGCAGUGCGAUUCCCCAGGUGAUAACACGGGCUGAGGAAUACGAAGCAUUAAGGCACGAGCUGGAGAUGGAUAUAAAGCACAGCCUCCUGAGCGCAAGCAGACGUUAUGUUCAGGUCGUGAUACUUUGACAAUCUGCCAUAUCUAGGAGUCUUUAUAAACCUGGAUACGUUAUUCAUAAACUUGUGUGGUCAGACACUACAUGUUUGUUAUCCCUGAAUUCUCGGACACGUAACAUCACAUGUCCGAUUAUGCCAGACGACCCAUGAUCAAUUUUACCUAAUGAUUAGACCAUACCUUAAUAUAUAUUGUAAUAUUCACCAUUUGUGCAAGACAGGUCACAAAUGGGAUGGGUAUUCACGCGAUGACCCCUACACCUAUCCUGAGAUGGUUCUUCUAUAAAUACCGAGACCUUGGAUAGAAAAGGGGUUGGGUUUUCUCUGUGUAAUACAAACACUCUGUCAAAAUAUAGAGAGAGAUUCAGUAAUAAUAUCGACUCGUGGACUAGGAGGAUUUUAACCGACGAACCACGUAAAAAGGAACGAGUGUUCUAACUAUCUCAUUCUAAGCUUCCUUAAGAAUUGUUAUUUGUAUUGUUGUUUAUCCUUAAGCACUAGUUUUCUCCAGCUAAUUACCCAAUACAUUGUUGGCGAAA
Molecule: long non-coding RNA, 1090 nt
Organism: Humulus lupulus (European hop)
Lineage: Eukaryota; Viridiplantae; Streptophyta; Magnoliopsida; Rosales; Cannabaceae
Exons: 3
Source: RefSeq, a predicted model, not a curated record